CACACACAUCCCGAAAAGAUAUUCCACACACGAAUGAUACGGAAAGGACUUCUGCAUGGGGGUGCUCGCUCGUCCUUUUUCUCCGCUUGUAUGUGUGUUUGCUCUCCUCCGGCGACGAUGUUUAUCGUCGUCCUUUCCAGGCAUGCACACCAUCAGAAAAUUAUCGAUUUUUGUUUUGAUGAUCCUUCUCUCCUCAGCGCAAAUAAAGUCAGAGCUUGAUAGAACAGAACCAGCAGCUUGUCUCAUCACAAACGUUCUGCGGAUUGGAUGACGGAUCGCGUCCGUUCUUAUUUCGUGCUGUCGUCGUCGUCGGGAGUGGCCAAAAUCUACCACGGAUAUCAAUCCGGUUCUAUAAUCUGGCUGUAAUCGAUUGUGCAAUUGAGGCUUUUGAUAAGCCACGGUUUUUGGCUUUUUUGGUGAAGUGUUCAGCGUGAAGCGAAACGUGUUGGAAGCGGAAAAUCUUCGGAAGGCUGUCGUGAAAGAACCGGAAAAUUGAAACAAUUUGUGCUUGUAGGACACAUCUCAUCAACAACCAUGGGCAACAUACACACCGUUGGACCGAACGAGGCUCUUAUCGUAUCAGGUUCGUCAUUGAGGCCAACAAAAUCAUACCAUUUGUCAACUUAUUGCUAGAAAUUAUGAUGCUCAUGGACUGGGGUUCCGAUGUGAGGGACCAUGGACCAUGGCCAUCAUGAACACUAUCGGAUAAACAAGAUAUUGACCUUUUCCAAAGCGAGGCAGACAACUUAAUUUGACUUGCUAAGGGUUGGUCCUAAACGAUUCAUGUCGGAUGCAGGGUCUUCCAUCAAGCGACCAGAAAUUUACAUUUUUAUUUAUUUCGGAUUCAAAAUCUAGAUCUAUUCUGUAUGGUUUUUAAAUGUUGAUGUCGCAAAACUGAAAAAAAAAUCACUUGCAAUAAAACUUCACCUCUGAAGCACAACAUAAA
Long non-coding RNA from Aedes aegypti (yellow fever mosquito), 946 nucleotides. RefSeq lists it as uncharacterized. Lineage: Eukaryota; Metazoa; Arthropoda; Insecta; Diptera; Culicidae. The transcript has 4 exons. The record is from RefSeq and is a predicted model, not a curated record.